This is a long non-coding RNA of Notolabrus celidotus (New Zealand spotty), 482 nucleotides long. RefSeq lists it as uncharacterized. NCBI's taxonomy places the organism in Eukaryota, Metazoa, Chordata, Actinopteri, Labriformes, Labridae. The transcript has 3 exons. The record is from RefSeq and is a predicted model, not a curated record.
UGUCUGUGUUUCCUAGUUUAUUAUAGAGGACAUGAAGCAGCAGCAAACCAACAAACACAGCAACCUGCACCGUGAAGACCAGCACAUCACUGUGGAGGAGCUGUGGACAGGCUGGAAGACCUCUGAAGUCAACAACUGGGCAAUGAUGGACGACACGGUGUGGUGGCUGAAAGAGUCCGUGGAGCUGCUGCAGUGAGAGAGGACCCUCCAGGACUUCAAGGGCACACUUUACCUCGUAUUGACCAAAGAUCGACGUCUUCCUAUUCAAGUACAGAUUUCCCUCAACAUGACCUCCACUUUGUGUGUGUGAAGAGCUUCAGGCAUCCACUGCAACUCCUCCUCUCGCCCAGUCCUUUGUAGCUUCGAGGGUAAGUGUUCAAGUUGCACAAAAAACGUUGGUUUACACAAAGCUUGAGAAAAAUGUGGUUUUCUAGCUUUUUAAUUGGAAAUGUCCCUUUAAAAAACGUCAGAUCAAAGAAAAA